Molecule: ribosomal RNA, 798 nt
Filed under: uncultured archaeon
Lineage: Archaea
Description: bacterial SSU rRNA
Rfam family: Archaeal small subunit ribosomal RNA
Source: RNAcentral
UACGGCUCAGUAACACGUGGAUAACCUGCCCUUGGGUCCGGCAUAACCCCGGGAAACUGGGGAUAAUACCGGAUAACGCACAUAUGCUGGAAUGCUUUAUGCGUAAAAUGGAUUCGUCUGCCCAAGGAUGGGUCUGCGGCCUAUCAGGUAGUAGUGGGUGUAAUGUACCUACUAGCCAACAACGGGUACGGGUUGUGAGAGCAAGAGCCCGGAGAUGGAUUCUGAGACAUGAAUCCAGGCCCUACGGGGCGCAGCAGGCGCGGAAACUUUACAAUGCGGGAAACCGUGAUAAGGGGACACCGAGUGCCAGCAUCAUAUGCUGGCUGUCCGGGUGUGUAAAAUACACCUGUUAGCAAGGGCCGGGCAAGACCGGUGCCAGCCGCCGCGGUAACACCGGCGGCCCGAGUGGUGAUCGUGAUUAUUGGGUCUAAAGGGUCCGUAGCCGGUUUGGUCAGUCCUCCGGGAAAUCUGACGGCUCAACCGUUAGGCUUUCGGGGGAUACUGCCAGGCUUGGAACCGGGAGAGGUAAGAGGUACUACAGGGGUAGGAGUGAAAUCUUGUAAUCCCUGUGGGACCACCUGUGGCGAAGGCGUCUUACCAGAACGGGUUCGACGGUGAGGGACGAAAGCUGGGGGCACGAACCGGAUUAGAUACCCGGGUAGUCCCAGCCGUAAACGAUGCUCGCUAGGUGUCAGGCAUGGCGCGACCGUGUCUGGUGCCGCAGGGAAGCCGUGAAGCGAGCCACCUGGGAAGUACGGCCGCAAGGCUGAAACUUAAAGGAAUUGGCGGGGGAGCACA